This is a long non-coding RNA of Labeo rohita (rohu), 955 nucleotides long. RefSeq lists it as uncharacterized. The transcript has 5 exons. The record is from RefSeq and is a predicted model, not a curated record. NCBI's taxonomy places the organism in Eukaryota, Metazoa, Chordata, Actinopteri, Cypriniformes, Cyprinidae.
GUUAUCAGUCACAUUCGGGACAUUUGCUCGUGUGCGCGCCUCACCCAUCUGAAAUAUUUUUUACAGACGCCAUUUUCUUUGCUCGCGAUGCGGAGCAUAAUGAGGACGGGAAACAGCGAAAUACAGCGUUUAAUCUUAAUUACAAAAUGUAAUGUAAUGUCAUAUCGUUUAAUAACGAUAUUUAUGUGCUGUAUGUGGCUAAAAUUUUCUCUGAGACAUGUUUAUCCACUCGCGAUGCGGAACAGACCAGAGUCCUGUGUACUCCUAAACUUUUUCUCAGAGAGAUAUUUUCUUUCACUCACGAUACAGAGGAGACCAGUUUUAUCAAGGAAAACACCGAAAGUAAGUGUUUUAUCUAAGUUGCGAUAUGUAUUUUGUAAGAUAAUAUUACGUUAUGACGAUAUUUAUAACGUUAUGCUGUUCGCGCCUAAACGAGCCUAAACGUUUCUCACAGAUUUGAAUUGCAAUGCGGAGCUGAUGCAGAUGAGCCGCUUUUAAUAGGGAAACUUAAGGGAGAUAUUUUCUUUCACUCACGAUGCGGAGCAGACGGGGAAGUUGGUUUUAUCAAGGAAACACCUAAAAUUUGAAUUGUUAUGCAGGGCAGACGCAGAGGUCACUUUAACAGGAAAACGUAAGAAAGAGAUAUUCUUUCACUCUGGAGAUGAUGUGCUUGAAGAGUAUGAAGUCACCAUUACAUUAAGUGGGAUGAGAAGAGCUCUGUUAGGACACAUACCAGAAACAAGGGAGGAGUCCAACCUCAAUGCAGAGAGAGAUCAGUACGCACUUGGAAUUAUGACUUUGUUUCUGUUGUUAAAAGACUAAUUUUCCAGUAAGACUGACUUUCUUUUUACAAUAUAUAUACAUACAUUUACAGUGAAUUAAAUGAUUUUCCUUAAAAGAGUAAGUCACCCAAAAAUGAAAAUCGAGUCAACAUUUACUUAGCCUUGGCCUUGUG